This 79-nucleotide small nucleolar RNA is filed under the name Zalophus californianus (California sea lion). RNAcentral's name for it is "Small nucleolar RNA SNORD113/SNORD114 family (ENSZCAG00015006222.1)". It matches the Rfam family "Small nucleolar RNA SNORD113/SNORD114 family". Rfam says of the family: The imprinted human domain at 14q32 contains two clusters of tandemly repeated small nucleolar RNAs named 14q(I) and 14q(II) snoRNAs. The record is from RNAcentral. Lineage: Eukaryota; Metazoa; Chordata; Mammalia; Carnivora; Otariidae. RNAcentral also lists the same sequence under 1 other name.
UGGAUCAAUGGUGAGUAUUUGGUGGAGGUAUCUGAAUCAACACCUUUGAUAAAGCCCUCUGUGUAACUCUGAGGUCCAU